RNAcentral lists this ribosomal RNA (915 nucleotides) under uncultured bacterium. RNAcentral describes it as "bacterial SSU rRNA". The stretch from base 2 to 507 matches the Rfam family "Bacterial small subunit ribosomal RNA", at positions 9 to 546 of the family's 1533-position model. The record is from RNAcentral.
AGAGUUUGAUCCUGGCUCAGGACGAACGCUGGCGGCGUGGAUUAGGCAUGCAAGUCGAACGGUAUGGUGCUUUCGGGCAUCAGAGAGUGGCGAACGGGUGAGUAACACGUAGGUGAUCUACCCUCAAGACGGGGACAACCCAGGGAAACUUGGGCUAAUACCGGAUGAUAGCAGCAGUGAUGUUGUUUAAAAGAUGGCUUUCGGGCUGUCGUUUGGGGAUGAGCCUGCGUCCUAUUAGCUAGUUGGUGUGGUAAAGGCACACCAAGGCGAUGAUAGGUAGGCGGCCUUAACGGGUGGUCGCCCACACUGGGAUUGAGAUACGGCCCAGACUCCUACGGGAGGCAGCAGUCGAGAAUAGUCUACAAUGGUCGGAAGACUGAUAGUGCGACGCCGCGUGAACGAGGAAGCCCUUCGGGGUGUAAAGUUCUUUUAUAUGUGAGCAGUGGGUUCUACGUUAAUAGCGUGGGAUAAUCCCGCGGCCAUGGCGGCCGGGAGCAUGCGACGUCGGGCCCAAUUCGCCCUAUAGUGAGUCGUAUUACAAUUCACUGGCCGUCGUUUUACAACGUCGUGACUGGGAAAACCCUGGCGUUACCCAACUUAAUCGCCUUGCAGCACAUCCCCCUUUCGCCAGCUGGCGUAAUAGCGAAGAGGCCCGCACCGAUCGCCCUUCCCAACAGUUGCGCAGCCUGAAUGGCGAAUGGACGCGCCCUGUAGCGGCGCAUUAAGCGCGGCGGGUGUGGUGGUUACGCGCAGCGUGACCGCUACACUUGCCAGCGCCCUAGCGCCCGCUCCUUUCGCUUUCUUCCCUUCCUUUCUCGCCACGUUCGCCGGCUUUCCCCGUCAGCUCUAAAUCGGGGGCUCCCUUUAGGGUUCCGAUUUAGUGCUUUACGGCACCUCGACCCCAAAAAACUUGAU